This 322-nucleotide long non-coding RNA is filed under the name Citrus x clementina. Its description in RNAcentral is "Citrus clementina (C. clementina) long non-coding RNA (CCLE_LNC000131)". Lineage: Eukaryota; Viridiplantae; Streptophyta; Magnoliopsida; Sapindales; Rutaceae. The record is from RNAcentral.
ACAAUUUCAAGAAACUGUUGCUCGUUCAAUUGAAGAAGCUUGUUGCCAACGGAAAGCUGGUCAAAGUCAAGAACUCCUUCAAGCUCCCUCCUAAAUCGUCCUCUUCUACUGCUGCCGCUGCCGCUGCCGCUAAGAAGCCGAAGCCUUCCUCUACAGCCGCCACUGCCGCCAAGAAGCCGAAACCUUCCUCUGCCGCCACCGCCGCGAAGAGGCCUAAAGCUAGCUCCACUGACGCUGCGGCUAAGCAGACGAAGACGAAGUCCAAGCCAAAAGCAAAAGAAGCGGCGGUGAAGUCGAUCAAGUCUCCUGCGAAGAAGGCGGU